GGGGGCGAAAGGAUUCGACCGGAUACGUUGAGGUAUAGGCGGCGUAUUGAGGUUGUCAGGCGGCCUCAUUAAAAACCUGGCAAAAUGAUUUAAAUGCCGAAUAUCCAAUGGCAAUGGCUGCUUAAGUGUAGCCACGUUUAAUUAACCUUACCUGCGAGAUUAAUUAAACGACAACGAGCAGGAUAGUUUAGUUCCUGUGCUCGGUGGGAACUAAGCGAACCUUUAAACGGAGCUAGUCAUGAGAAAUCCUGUCUAUUGGAGUUUUUAAUGGCGAAAUUAAAAAAUAGACUAUGUACGUAGAAACCUAUGCUGAAAUAUCCAGGGACGCGGGUUCAAUUCCCGCCGCCUCCACCA
RNAcentral lists this transfer-messenger RNA (354 nucleotides) under Candidatus Jettenia caeni. RNAcentral's name for it is "Jettenia caeni Standard tmRNA". It matches the Rfam family "transfer-messenger RNA". Rfam says of the family: Bacterial tmRNA, also known as 10Sa RNA or SsrA, is named for its dual tRNA and mRNA-like properties. Its role is to liberate the mRNA from a stalled ribosome. To accomplish this part of the tmRNA is used as a reading frame that ends in a translation stop signal. RNAcentral also lists the same sequence under 2 other names. The record is from Rfam by way of RNAcentral. Lineage: Bacteria; Pseudomonadati; Planctomycetota; Candidatus Brocadiia; Candidatus Brocadiales; Candidatus Brocadiaceae.